CCAGAGGUCCUUCUAAGGACCAAAACUGGUUUAAACUAAGAUAUUG
This is a non-coding RNA of Tauraco erythrolophus (red-crested turaco), 46 nucleotides long. Lineage: Eukaryota; Metazoa; Chordata; Aves; Musophagiformes; Musophagidae. The record is from Rfam.